GUGAGGGAACGUUUCUGACGCUAGGUCAAGGGCGGUGUUCCUGUGUUCUUAGGGCCCCAGGAGGCGAGUCUGAGUGGAACCUGGCUGGGGUAGGCUGAAAGGUGACUUCGACGCUCUUCUGAGGCCUCAGACGUGUGUGAUGACUGCCCUGUAGAAUCAGUGCUGUGACCCCGAGUAACAACGCGCGCUUGAGUUGGUAUAAACUCCUGAAGAGUGUAGUCCUGCAAUUUACAAGAAAAAGUUAAGUGUAAAAUAGCCUCAGGCAUGUCCUUCAGGAGGGAUUCCAGAGGCAUUGUUAUAGACGAUGACAGCUCUGUGUGUGUUAUUGCCACUGAAGACCUUCCAUGGGACGCGAUGUGGAGCUGGAAGUCAGUGAUAUUGAUGAUCCUGACACAGUCCUAGGAUAAGGCCCAUGCUAUAUGAGCUUGACUUCUGGAAGGCUGGAGACUGAGUAAAUUCAGGAGUUAAGUUCAGUCACCCAGGCACCAUGGACACCAGCAUUCAGACGAGAUUACCUGUUUGGCACUACUUUGCACAUGCUGGCACACACCAUGGUGGGAAGAAUUAAGUGCUGUUGCCAUGCAAUUCUAAUGGAAGGGGAAAACUGGAAGCUUGUGCCUCGUCUCUCCUGGACUUUGUCCAGUGCCUUCUCCCAUUGUUCAUUGUUGCCUGCAUCCUUCGCCUUGAGUUUGAGUAUGGCAGCUCUUCUGGAUCCCAGGAGUCCUUCCAGCAAAUCAUUGAGCCUGAGUGGUCCUGGAGACCAGUGGCACACCUUUGUUCAAGAUAAUGGUUCACUUCUCAAUCAAUAAAAAUGUACUUGUAGACGCA
Molecule: long non-coding RNA, 828 nt
Filed under: Homo sapiens (human)
Lineage: Eukaryota; Metazoa; Chordata; Mammalia; Primates; Hominidae
Description: uncharacterized LOC105372394, transcript variant 2 (LOC105372394)
Source: RNAcentral